AUGCACUCAGGGGAGCGCACACUCAGGGGAGCGCACACUCAGGGGAGUGCACACUCAGGGGAGCGCACACUCACAUGUGCGUGCACUCAGGGGAGCACGCACUCAGAUGAUCACACACUCAAGAGGAGAUCACACUCUGACGAGCGCACACUCAGGGGAGCGCACACUCGGGGAGCACACACUCAGAGGAGGUCACACUCAGACGAGUGCACACUCGGGUUAGCGCACACUCAGGAAAGUGCACACUCAAGAGAGCCCACACUCAGGGGAGUGGACACUCAAGGGAGCGCACACUCAGGGGAGUGCACACUCAGGGGAGUGUGCACUCAGGAGCUCACACUCAGACGAACACACCUUCAGAGGACAGCACACCCAGGGGAGCAUGCACUCAGGGGAGUGCACAAUCAGGGGAGCGCACACUCAGAUGAGCAUGCACUCAGGGGAGUAUGCACACAGAUGAGCACACACUCAGAGGAGAUCGCACUCAGACGAGUGCACACUCAGGUGAGCGCACACUCAGGGGAGCGCUCACUCUGGGGAGCGCACACUCAAGGGAGUGCACACUCGGGCGAGUGCACACUCAGGGGAGCCCACACUCGGGGAGUGCACACUCAGGGGAGUGCACACUCGGGCGAGUGCACACUCGGGAGAGCACACUCAGGGGAAGGUGCACUCACACUCAGGGGAGCACACACUCAGGGGAAGGUGCACUCAGGGGAGCGCUCACUCAGGCGAGCACGCGCUCAGAUGAGCAUGCACUCAGGGGAGCUCACACUCAGAUGAACACGCACUCAGAGGAGAGCGCACUCAGGGUAGCGCACACUCAGACGAGCUUGCACUCAGGGGAACACGCACUCAUGGGAGCGCACACUCAGGGGAGCACACACUUGGGGGAGCGCACACUCAGGAGAGUGCACACUCGGGGGACCGCACACUCAGGGGAGCGCACACUCACAUGUGCGUGCACUCAGGGGAGCACGCACUCAGAUGAUCACACACUCAGAAGAGAUCACACUCUGACGAGCGCACACUCAGGGGAGCGCACACUCAGGGGAGCGCACACUCUGGGGAGCGCACACUCAAGGGAAUGCACACUCGGGUGAGUGCACACUCAGGGGAGCGCACACUCAGGGGAAGGUGCACUCAGGGGAGCACUCACUCAGGCGAGCACGCACUCAGAUGAGCAUGCACUCAGGGGAGCUCACACUCAGACGAACACGCCCUCAGAGGAGAGCGCACUCAGGGUAGUGCACACUCAGACGAGCUUGCACUCAGGGGAGCACGCACUCAUGGGAGCGCACACUUGGGGGAGCGCACACUCAGGGAAGUGCACAUUCAGGGGAGUGCACACUCAGGGGUGUACACAUACAGAUGAGCACGCACUCAGAAGAGAUCACACUCAGACGAGUGCACACUCAGGGAAGCACACACUCAGGGGAGCGCACAAUAAGGGGAGCGCGCACUCAGGGGAGCGCACACUCAGGAAAGUGCACACUCAGGGGAGCGCACACUCAGGCGAGUGCACACUCAGGGGAAUGCACACUCAGGGGAGCGUACACUCACAUGUGCAUGCACUCAGGGGAGCACGCCCUCAGAUGAUCACACACUCAGAGGAGAUCACACUCUGACGAGCGCACACUCAGGAGAGUGCACACUUGGGGAGCACAGACUCAAGGGAGUGCACACUCAGACGAGCACACACUCAAGGUGAGCGCACACUCAGGG
This 1725-nucleotide long non-coding RNA is filed under the name Papio anubis (olive baboon). RNAcentral's name for it is "lncRNA (ENSPANG00000047969.1)". Lineage: Eukaryota; Metazoa; Chordata; Mammalia; Primates; Cercopithecidae. The record is from RNAcentral.